AGCGCCCUUGGAUCGGUGUGCGUCCGAUUAGCUAGUUGGCGGGGUAACGGCCCACCAAGGCGUCGAUCGGUAGGGGGUGUGAGAGCAUGGCCCCCCACACGGGUACUGAGACACGGACCCGACUCCUACGGGAGGCAGCAGUAAGGAAUAUUGGACAAUGGGCGGAAGCCUGAUCCAGCCAUGCCGCGUGAAGGACGAAGGCGCUCAGCGUUGUAAACUUCUUUUGGACGGGGACAAUAACCGAGACUUGUCUCGGCUUGAGGGUACCAUCAGAAUAAGCACCGGCUAACUCCGUGCCAGCAGCCGCGGUAAUACGGAGGGUGCAAGCGUUAUCCGGAAUCACUGGGUUUAAAGGGUGCGUAGGCGGCCCGAUAAGUCAGUCGUGAAAUCGCUGGGCUCAACCCAUGCAAUUGCGAUUGAUACUGUCGGGCUUGAAUGGGGUUGAGGCUGGCGGAAUGCGGCAUGUAGCGGUGAAAUGCUUAGAUAUGCCGCAGAACACCGAUUGCGAAGGCAGCCAGCUGGGCCCGUAUUGACGCUGAGGCACGAAAGCGUGGGGAGCAAACAGGAUUAGAU
Molecule: ribosomal RNA, 573 nt
Filed under: uncultured bacterium
Lineage: Bacteria
Description: bacterial SSU rRNA
Rfam family: Bacterial small subunit ribosomal RNA
Source: RNAcentral